AUUGAACGCUGGCGGCAGGCCUAACACAUGCAAGUCGAGCGGAUGAAGGGAGCUUGCUCCUGGAUUCAGCGGCGGACGGGUGAGUAAUGCCUAGGAAUCUGCCUGGUAGUGGGGGAUAACGUCCGGAAACGGGCGCUAAUACCGCAUACGUCCUGAGGGAGAAAGUGGGGGAUCUUCGGACCUCACGCUAUCAGAUGAGCCUAGGUCGGAUUAGCUAGUUGGUGGGGUAAAGGCCUACCAAGGCGACGAUCCGUAACUGGUCUGAGAGGAUGAUCAGUCACACUGGAACUGGGACACGGUCCAGACUCCUACGGGAGGCAGCAGUGGGGAAUAUUGGACAAUGGGCGAAAGCCUGAUCCAGCCAUGCCGCGUGUGUGAAGAAGGUCUUCGGAUUGUAAAGCACUUUAAGUUGGGAGGAAGGGCAGUAAGUUAAUACCUUGCUUGUUUGACGGUACCAACAGAAUAAGCACCGGCUAACUUCGUG
Molecule: ribosomal RNA, 484 nt
Filed under: uncultured bacterium
Lineage: Bacteria
Description: partial 16S ribosomal RNA
Rfam family: Bacterial small subunit ribosomal RNA
Source: RNAcentral